Molecule: ribosomal RNA, 1140 nt
Filed under: Triticum aestivum (bread wheat)
Lineage: Eukaryota; Viridiplantae; Streptophyta; Magnoliopsida; Poales; Poaceae
Description: partial small subunit ribosomal RNA
Source: RNAcentral
CGGCAUGCGCUACAACUAAGUGCACCACACCUCCCUCUCUCCCUUAUCCCCUCUCAUCACGUUCUCCCUCCCUCCCCUUCCUCCCUCGACUCCGAUCCAGAUCCAGGGCCAUGGUGCGCCCUCUUCCCCAUCGCCGCCGGCCACCAUCCCCACACUUUCUCUCCCUUGUCCCGUGGAUCCAUCUCUUCCAUGGCUGCCUCCCACACCGUCUCCUCCUUCCCCCAUCUCAUCCUGUUUUUCUUGUUUGGGAGCGACGAGGGAUUGGCGAGGCUGGAGGCGAGCACGUGGAAGAGCGGAGCGGGGCUGGCGAGGGGAGGGCGCGGAAGAAGGAGAGUGCCGCCGCCGGGGUGGGCGCGGCGCAGAUGCGGUGGAGCGCGACCAUGGGGUCGUCCGGUGGGGGCGGCGGCGGGAGGAAGGGGAGCGGAGGCGGAGGCGCAGCGAGUCAAUGAGGCAUCGCGUGGCAGAGGAGACGGCGGCUGUCGGGCAGGGGCAUCGCGUGGCAGAGGAGGCGGCGGCUGUCGGGCGGGGGCAUCGCGUGGCAGAGGAGACGGCAGCGGCGGCGAGACGAGGGACGCCCGAGCUCCUCGGCCCAGCUCAACAGAAGGACCUAGAAGCACUUUUUCUCAUACAUUGGCAUAUCGUAUCAAUGGAGCAUGGGCGACCCAUGGUGCACAUACAGCUUGCUACCGAAGUACCCAUCAGUGGCACAUAUCAGUGCUUUGUUCUUUGGAGGCAUAUACCCGAGGAUCAGUCUAAGUCAGAAGAGAUGAUACACAGGUACAUAUAUAUGCUCAAUUACCUCUGGCCGCGUACACAUGGAUAAGGCAAGAUGGAAGCUCACACUACCGAUACUAAUGUAAGACCAAAGCCGAUCUAGGAAGGGAUGUUGGGCUCUUGGCGCCCCCGAGUCAUGUCUGAAAAAAUCAGCACUGCAGAUUGUUUGGUAGAAGAUAGCGAAAGAGUGCUGCAGGAUAAUGAGAUGUUGAAGCGGCAGACUGAAUCCAUGACACCGAAGUGCAAUUGCGGCAGAUUAUCUCUAUCUUUUCUUUUCAUUUUUCUUAUUAUUGAGUGAGAACAGAAUGAGGAACUGUGUGAUAGUACAUACAACAACUGUAGUAAAAAGAAACUUAUGUUUGCAAU